RNAcentral lists this transfer RNA (17 nucleotides) under Grevillea aquifolium. RNAcentral describes it as "partial tRNA-Phe". Lineage: Eukaryota; Viridiplantae; Streptophyta; Magnoliopsida; Proteales; Proteaceae. The record is from RNAcentral.
GCUCAGCUGGUAGAGCA